Molecule: non-coding RNA, 1190 nt
Organism: Peromyscus maniculatus bairdii (prairie deer mouse)
Lineage: Eukaryota; Metazoa; Chordata; Mammalia; Rodentia; Cricetidae
Source: RefSeq, a predicted model, not a curated record
CUUAGCACAUAAAGUCUAAACAAAACAAACACCCAUGAUCCACUCCACUGGAGAAAGGGGCUCAGCUAACGUUUUUUGGAUGAUCACACACCCGGGCUGGCUGUCUCUAUGAUUCUAUUUUCAUCCUUCCACCUCUUCGGGGAGAGAUUAGCCAGAGCUUUGCAGAAGUUGCCCUACAGCUGAAAAACUCAGAACGGAAUUACAAAAGAAACAAAUCCAUCUCCAUGGUAACAGGAAGGUGACUGUCCUGGCCAACAGGAGCAGGAGAUGACUCGAUUUAUUUCACAUCAUAUACUCGUGGUUUUAAAAUGUUGAGUGGUGAAAAAGAAGUUUGUUCAAGGGUCCAGAAGAAACCAGGAUGGAUUCCAGAUCCUCACCAACAACCCAACACCAUUUCAGCAGGAACCUCAAGUUCUCUCUGCUUUGAUGGAAGUCACAACUCCUCAUUCCCAGGAAGGAUUAAUUGAGGGGGAAGACCCACUAUGCAUGGGCUACAGGAGUCAAAACAGGAGGUGCUUAAGAAGUGUGGGUUAAGGAAGCUGCUGUGCAUGUGGGAGGGAGCAGAUGCAGUGAUUCUAAUCCUAUGAAGUUGGCAUUUGAGAUGAAUCAUCACAACCAGCUAGCCUGAAAGAAAUGCACAUCAUGUACCAGAUGAUCCUGGGCUGUUUCAAGUGGAAAGUCAAAGCUAACUAGGACUGGAGGUUAGAGCAUCCUAGCAGAGAUGCAUGAUCUCCUUGAAGGGAGGGAGAGGCUUCCCUUCAAAAACCUGGAGGAGAACUUCAUUGAGAAAGAAAAAGACAGCUAAAGCAAACAAGACAGACAGAUAACCGUCACCAGCAACACGACAACAGGAAGUGUGGGGUGUGCCGAGGGAGACAACCAUCAGAGAAAUCUCCUAAGCAACAGAGACUGCCAACUUUUACAACUUUUAAAGGGAGGCAGGAAGUUUCAUAUACCCCUCCUAGCCAUGGAUAGCUUAUCUGUAUGACAAGGAACAUGGAGGAUGCCGAUACCAGGCUGGAACAUAGACAUAUCUUGCAGUUGCCAGGAGGAUGGGGGUGGGACUGAACUUGGGUUUUCCCACAGAGAUUUGUGUGCCCUAACCUUCUCAGCAGGAGCUGUGGUUAUAUAGGGUGUGGCCUGAUUAGGGAUCUAAAAGAAAGAGCCAGAGGGUCUGUGAUCUAAUACAA